Molecule: ribosomal RNA, 253 nt
Filed under: uncultured bacterium
Lineage: Bacteria
Description: partial 16S ribosomal RNA
Rfam family: Bacterial small subunit ribosomal RNA
Source: RNAcentral
UACGGGGGGGGCAAGCGUUGUUCGGAAUUACUGGGCGUAAAGGGUUUGUAGGUGGCUUGCUAAGUCAGACGUGAAAUCCCUCAGCUUAACUGGGGAACUGCGUCUGAUACUGGCGAGCUUGAGUGCAGGAGAGGAACGCGGAAUUCCAGGUGUAGCGGUGAAAUGCGUAGAUAUCAGGAGGAACACCGGUGGCGAAGGCGGUUCUCUGGGCAUUACCUGACGCUGAGGAGCGAAAGUGUGGGGAGCGAACAGG